CUACUACACCUGUUGUAUUCAGCAUUUCACUGUAAGGUCUACUACACCUGUUGUAUUCAGCAUUUUACUGUAAGGUCUACUACACCUGUUGUAUUCAGCAUUUCACUGUAAGGUCUACUACACCUGUUGUAUUCAGCAUUUCACUGUAAGGUCUACUACACCUGUUGUAUUCAGCAUUUUACUGUAAGGUCUACUACACCUGUUGUAUUCAGCAUUUCACUGUAAGGUCUACUUUACUUGUUGUAUUCAGCAUUUCACUGUAAGGUCUACUACACCUGUUGUAUUCAGCAUUUCACUCACAGAUGAGGGAGAGCGGAUGGGUUCAUGUCUAAAUUGUGCAACCUUCUUUUCCUUAAUUUUGUCUUGUCUUGUCUUGUCCUGAAAGGUAUCCUCCCC
Molecule: long non-coding RNA, 396 nt
Organism: Oncorhynchus tshawytscha (Chinook salmon)
Lineage: Eukaryota; Metazoa; Chordata; Actinopteri; Salmoniformes; Salmonidae
Source: Ensembl